UCAAGCAUGCCCACAGGCUCCCUGCUGGCACACCCUUGCUUAUUCACCAUUUCAUUCAUUUAAACAUCCCAAAAUGGAAAGGGUUCAGUAGGAGGGUACUGUGGACUGGGACCAGAGAGGUCACAGAGUGGAAGCAGCCCUGCACACUAUCGCAGGGCUUAUGCUUUAUCUCUCAUGUCAUCUAUUUCUCUGCAGCUUUAUGCCUGUAAGAGCCUGGACCAAAGCCGCUUGACUAUCCUUGGGGCAAGGACAGCCGCAAGCAUUCACUCUUCAAGGCCCUCACCCUACUCAUCUAGGCCCAUGGUCCCUGUCUCAUUUGUAACCCAGCCCUUCUGCAGCCCGGCCCUGUGCAGUCCUGCGUGAGUUCCUGGCUUCCUAGGGUCCUUGGAACUUACCUGUACUUUGUAGUCCUCCAACAGGAUGGGAAGAAGUAUUCUUUCGUUGUUUGAAACUGAAAACCAGAAAGUGAUAAAUAUGUGUUGCUACUGACAGAGUCUUGAACUUUCAAUCAACUUGAGCCCUAAUUCAAGAACCUAAGUUUUGAAGAUGGCCUACAGGGAAAACUUCACACAGGAGACGG
Manis javanica (Malayan pangolin) is the source of this 580-nucleotide non-coding RNA. The record is from RefSeq and is a predicted model, not a curated record. Lineage: Eukaryota; Metazoa; Chordata; Mammalia; Pholidota; Manidae.